RNAcentral lists this ribosomal RNA (243 nucleotides) under uncultured bacterium. RNAcentral describes it as "partial 16S ribosomal RNA". It matches the Rfam family "Bacterial small subunit ribosomal RNA", at positions 112 to 354 of the family's 1533-position model. The record is from RNAcentral.
CGGACGUGAGCAAUCUGCCUUGGAGUGGGGAAUAACGGCUGGAAACAGCCGCUAAUACCGCAUGAUACAGCUGGGAGGCAUCUCCCUGGCUGUCAAAGAUUUAUCGCUCUGAGAUGAGCUCGCGUCUGAUUAGCUUGCCGGCGGGGUAACGGCCCACCGGGGCGACGAUCAGUAGGGGUUCUGAGAGGAAGGUCCCCCACAUUGGAACUGAGACACGGUCCAAACUCCUACGGAAGGCAGCAG